AAACAUUUCAUUUGGUUGUUUGCCAUUUGUAGCAGUGGAUGGAACAAACUCAGCUGUAUAUGUUAUUUUUGCUUCCUUUGCCUGUACCUAUGGACAAGGGAUUGCCUUCAGGCGUUUGCCUUCAGGAAACCAGCAAAGGAUGGCCGAUACUAGGCAUGCAUGUGCAUACAGAAAAGAGAGUAACCCAAUAGUGAGGAAGAAAUUGAUGCUGCAGGAGAGAGGGAAUAAUUGCCGAAGCAAAGAUCUUGAGGUACUGAGAAAGGAUGACCCUAAUUUCCUUAAUGCUGCAGCCUGCUUCCACUGAGGGACUGGAGGCUCCUUGAGCAAAAUUAUCUACCUCUUCACCUUUGGAUCUUUCACAGUUCCCAGUUCGGUGUACUACAGAUUGUACUUGCUAAAUAAAAAAUCAUUGUCAUGGUUUACCUAAAUGCCUG
RNAcentral lists this long non-coding RNA (434 nucleotides) under Homo sapiens (human). RNAcentral's name for it is "HSALNT0316343". The record is from RNAcentral. Lineage: Eukaryota; Metazoa; Chordata; Mammalia; Primates; Hominidae.